RNAcentral lists this long non-coding RNA (513 nucleotides) under Eucalyptus grandis. Its description in RNAcentral is "long non-coding RNA (EGRA_LNC004916)". Lineage: Eukaryota; Viridiplantae; Streptophyta; Magnoliopsida; Myrtales; Myrtaceae. The record is from RNAcentral.
UGAGGUCGAGCGAGCCAUAGAUUUGUGAUCUAGAGCUCAGUCGACCUCAAAUCUAGGUUGGUUUAAGGUCGGCUUAGGCAACAGGGAGGUGAAGGCAUUUUCUUCUUCCUUUCACUCCGAUGGGAGCGAGCACAGUGACCACCACCACCUCAUCGCCGUCUCAGUCCUCUGGCGUCGAGCUCGAGCUUAGCCGGCGAACUUGAGCCUCAGAUUUUGGACCUGAGGUCGAGCGAGCCAUAGAUUUGUGAUCUAGAGCUCAGGUCGACCUCAAAUCUGGGUUGGUUCAAGGUCGGCUUAGGCAACAGGGAGGUGAAGGCAUUUUCUUCUUCCUUUCACUCCGAUGGGAGCGAGCACAGUGACCACCACCACCUCAUCGCCGUCUCAGUCCUCUGGCGUCGAGCUCGAGCUUGGCCGGCGAACUUGGGCCUCAGAUUUUGGAUCUGAGGUCGAGCGAGCCAUAGAUUUGUGAUCUAGAGCUCAGGUCGACCUUAAAUCUGGGUUGGUUCAAGGUCG